AACGCGAAGAACCUUACCUGGGCUUGAACCGCUAGUGACCAACGGUAGAAACAUCGUCUUCUCGCAAGAGACACUAGUAGAGGUGCUGCAUGGCUGUCGUCAGCUCGUGCCGUGAGGUGUUGGGUUAAGUCCCGCAACGAGCGCAACCCUUACUCUUAGUUGCUACCCGCAAGGGAGAACUCUAAGAGGACUGCUCCGGAUAACGGAGAGGAAGGUGGGGAUGACGUCAAGUCAGCACGGCCUUUAUGUCCAGGGCUACACACGUGUUACAAUGCAUGGUACAGACUGUUGCGAACCCGCGAGGGGGAGCUAAUCGGAAAAAACCAUGCUCAGUUCGGAUUGCAGUCUGCAACUCGACUGCAUGAAGCCGGAAUCGCUAGUAAUGGCGUAUCAGAACGACGCCGUGAAUACGUUCCCGGGCCUUGUACACACCGCGCAUA
RNAcentral lists this ribosomal RNA (440 nucleotides) under uncultured bacterium. RNAcentral describes it as "bacterial SSU rRNA". It matches the Rfam family "Bacterial small subunit ribosomal RNA", at positions 958 to 1398 of the family's 1533-position model. The record is from RNAcentral.